GCCUUCGUGGUGUAGUGGUCAGAACGUAUUCGAGAGGUCCGUGGUUCGAGUCCCGGUGAGGGCA
This 64-nucleotide transfer RNA is filed under the name Stegodyphus mimosarum. It matches the Rfam family "tRNA". From Rfam's summary of the family: Transfer RNA (tRNA) molecules are approximately 80 nucleotides in length. Their secondary structure includes four short double-helical elements and three loops (D, anti-codon, and T loops). Further hydrogen bonds mediate the characteristic L-shaped molecular structure. tRNAs have two regions of fundamental functional importance: the anti-codon, which is responsible for specific mRNA codon recognition, and the 3' end, to which the tRNAs corresponding amino acid is attached (by aminoacyl-tRNA synthetases). tRNAs cope with the degeneracy of the genetic code in two manners: having more than one tRNA (with a specific anti-codon) for a particular amino acid; and 'wobble' base-pairing, i.e. permitting non-standard base-pairing at the 3rd anti-codon position. Lineage: Eukaryota; Metazoa; Arthropoda; Arachnida; Araneae; Eresidae. The record is from Rfam by way of RNAcentral.